GUUCCUGUAUAGCCAUCUUGGUGUAGAACCAGCCGUGGUUGAUCAGUACCCAAGCCGACAUACAGCCAGGUUGUAGCCGCUCUUUAGUUCUUGGUUACCAGGAAGUCCCUGUGGUGCUGCAAUAAAAAUAUGGUACUGUUGUAAACAAUAGACUUGCAAAAUG
Long non-coding RNA from Branchiostoma belcheri (Belcher's lancelet), 163 nucleotides. RefSeq lists it as uncharacterized. The transcript has 3 exons. The record is from RefSeq and is a predicted model, not a curated record. NCBI's taxonomy places the organism in Eukaryota, Metazoa, Chordata, Leptocardii, Amphioxiformes, Branchiostomatidae.